Molecule: ribosomal RNA, 472 nt
Filed under: uncultured bacterium
Lineage: Bacteria
Description: partial 16S ribosomal RNA
Rfam family: Bacterial small subunit ribosomal RNA
Source: RNAcentral
GACGAACGCUGGCGGCGUGCUUAACACAUGCAAGUCGAACGCUGAAGCUUGGUGCUUGCACUGGGUGGAUGAGUGGCGAACGGGUGAGUAAUACGUGAGUAACCUGCCCUUGACUCUGGGAUAAGCCUGGGAAACUGGGUCUAAUACUGGAUACGACAUGUCACCGCAUGGUGGUGUGUGGAAAGGGUUUUACUGGUUUUGGAUGGGCUCACGGCCUAUCAGCUUGUUGGUGGGGUAAUGGCUCACCAAGGCGACGACGGGUAGCCAGCCUGAGAGGGUGACCGGCCACACUGGGACUGAGACACGGCCCAGACUCCUACGGGAGGCAGCAGUGGGGAAUAUUGCACAAUGGGCGGAAGCCUGAUGCAGCGACGCCGCGUGAGGGAUGACGGCCUUCGGGUUGUAAACCUCUUUCAGCACGGAAGAAGCGAAAGUGACGGUACGUGCAGAAGAAGCGCCGGCUAACUACGUG